This 462-nucleotide ribosomal RNA is filed under the name uncultured bacterium. RNAcentral's name for it is "partial 16S ribosomal RNA". It matches the Rfam family "Bacterial small subunit ribosomal RNA", at positions 29 to 507 of the family's 1533-position model. The record is from RNAcentral.
AGUGAACGCUGGCGGCGUGCCUAAUACAUGCAAGUCGAACGGAGAUUAAGUAGCUUGCUAUUUAAUCUUAGUGGCGCACGGGUGAGUAAUAUAUAGCUAACUUGCCCAUUACUAAGGGACAACAGUUGGAAACGACUGCUAAUACCUUAUACUCCGUAUCUAUAUAAGUAGAUACGGGAAAGUUUUUCGGUAAUGGAUAGGGCUAUAUCGUAUCAGCUAGUUGGUAAGGUAAUGGCUUACCAAGGCUAUGACGCGUAACUGGUCUGAGAGGAUGAUCAGUCACACUGGGACUGAGACACGGUCCAGACUCCUACGGGAGGCAGCAGUAGGGAAUAUUGCUCAAUGGGGGAAACCCUGAAGCAGCAACGCCGCGUGGAGGAUGACACUUUUCGGAGCGUAAACUCCUUUUCUUGGGAAAGAAUUAUGACGGUACCCAAGGAAUAAGCACCGGCUAACUCCGUG